UACAGAGGGUGCAAGCGUUGCUCGGAAUCAUUGGGCGUAAAGGGUAGGUAGGUGGUCUCAUUUGUCUGGGGUGAAAGCCUUGAGCUUAACUCAAGAAGUGCCCCGGAAACGGUGAGACUGGAGUCCUAGAGAGGCUAGCGGAAUUCCCGGUGUAGCGGUGAAAUGCGUAGAGAUCGGGAGGAACACCAGAGGCGAAGGCGGCUAGCUGGAUAGGCACUGACACUGAACUACGAAAGCGUGGGGAGCAAACAGG
RNAcentral lists this ribosomal RNA (253 nucleotides) under uncultured bacterium. Its description in RNAcentral is "partial 16S ribosomal RNA". It matches the Rfam family "Bacterial small subunit ribosomal RNA", at positions 524 to 776 of the family's 1533-position model. The record is from RNAcentral.